Pundamilia nyererei is the source of this 193-nucleotide long non-coding RNA. RefSeq lists it as uncharacterized. NCBI's taxonomy places the organism in Eukaryota, Metazoa, Chordata, Actinopteri, Cichliformes, Cichlidae. The record is from RefSeq and is a predicted model, not a curated record. The transcript has 2 exons.
CAACAAAGAUGGAUCACGAAAAAGAUCAGAAAGCAGCAGUGUCAGGAGCAGCAGAAGUAGCAGAGAUGUUGGUGGGAACAGGGACAGGAGACACAAACAGAAAAGAAACAGAAAAGCCAAGACAUGUAGGAAGAACAAGGAAACCAGCAAGUAGUUCUCUCCUAACAAAAAAGGAAAUUAAAAUCUGACUGAC